CUAUGAUUUACUAGAAAAACCAAAUCAUGGCGGAAGGAG
RNAcentral lists this non-coding RNA (39 nucleotides) under unclassified sequences. RNAcentral describes it as "L31-Firmicutes ribosomal protein leader". It matches the Rfam family "L31-Firmicutes ribosomal protein leader". The record is from RNAcentral.